AACGCACCUUGCGCUCCUUGGUAUUCUGAGGAGCAUGCCUGUUUGAGUGUCAUGGAAUUAUCAAACCUUCAUUUUAAUUUAUUUUAAAGGGUCGGUUUGGAUUUGGAGGUUUUAUUGCUGGUCAUAUUUGUGGUCGGCUCCUCUUGAAUGCAUUAGCUUGAGCCUUUAACGGGUCGGCUUAUCGGUGUGAUAAUAAAAUUACUACGCCGUGGUCGGGUUUCGUGAGUCGAGCUUCUAAUCGUCCUUUGGGACAAAUAACAUUUGACCUCUGACCUCAAAUCAGGUAGGAUUACCCGCUGAACUUAA
Molecule: unclassified non-coding RNA, 306 nt
Filed under: uncultured fungus
Lineage: Eukaryota; Fungi
Description: partial contains 5.8S rRNA and ITS2
Source: RNAcentral